UGAGGAAUAUUGGUCAAUGGACGGAAGUCUGAACCAGCCAAGUAGCGUGCAGGAUGACGGCCCUAUGGGUUGUAAACUGCUUUUGUAUGGGGAUAAAGUUAGGGACGUGUCCCUAUUUGCAGGUACCAUACGAAUAAGGACCGGCUAAUUCCGUGCCAGCAGCCGCGGUAAUACGGAAGGUCCAGGCGUUAUCCGGAUUUAUUGGGUUUAAAGGGAGCGUAGGCUGGAGAUUAAGUGUGUUGUGAAAUGUAGACGCUCAACGUCUGAAUUGCAGCGCAUACUGGUUUCCUUGAGUACGCACAACGUUGGCGGAAUUCGUCGUGUAGCGGUGAAAUGCUUAGAUAUGACGAAGAACUCCGAUUGCGAAGGCAGCUGACGGGGGCGCAACUGACGCUUAAGCUCGAAGGUGCGGGUAUCAAACAGGAUUAGAUACCCUGGUAGUCCGCACAGUAAACGAUGGAUGCCCGCUGUUGGUACCUGGUAUCAGCGGCUAAGCGAAAGCAUUAAGCAUCCCACCUGGGGAGUACGCCGGCAACGGUG
Molecule: ribosomal RNA, 540 nt
Filed under: uncultured bacterium
Lineage: Bacteria
Description: bacterial SSU rRNA
Rfam family: Bacterial small subunit ribosomal RNA
Source: RNAcentral